Long non-coding RNA from Brassica napus (rape), 1005 nucleotides. RefSeq lists it as uncharacterized. NCBI's taxonomy places the organism in Eukaryota, Viridiplantae, Streptophyta, Magnoliopsida, Brassicales, Brassicaceae. The transcript has 2 exons. The record is from RefSeq and is a predicted model, not a curated record.
UUGGCCGAUAAAAUUAAACAAUAUAUAUUAGAGAAAAUUACAUAUUUAUUUACUAAUUAGUUACAUGUUUAUUGACAAAAUAAUUAAUCAUAACUGACAUUUAUUACAAUAUUAACAUCUCUCUUAUUGAAACAUAAACAUUUUCUUGGACAUAAUAUUUUUUUGUAAAAUUUUACAUCAAGUACACACUUCUCUCGUACUUUUCUCAUUAAAUAAACCAAAAGUAAACCAAGCAACCCUCCUAGAUUUUUAGGGAUAUCCAAAUAUGAUCACAUUCCACUUACAUUUUGUAUCCUUAGAAUAUUUCUCAAUUCAUGUUUGAUGGGUUUUUCAAUCUUAUGACUGAACUAAAUCGAAGAUUUUUUGAAAUUUAUAUGUUGAUCUGAUACCGCUUCGUAUUCUUUUAAAAUCCUGAAUAUUUUUUUGGGACUCCUCAUUUUGUGAUUUAUAAAAGAAGAGACUAUCAUCUGUAAAGAAUAGAUGAGAAAUUGAGGGGCAUGCCAUUGCAACUUUUAUGCCUGUCCCAUCUCGUACUCUAUUUCCUCCUCUGAGUCUCUUCUCUGCGUUUCCCCUUUGCUCGAUCUCGAGCUCUGUCGUCUCCACUCACCCGCAAUUGAACACUCUCUCUCCUUGAAUCGUGAUAAACCUGACUAAACUCACAAAGUCACAAGAAGAGCUUGACUCAGGGAAUUACUUCGGAGUUACUUCAGGUAUGGCUGAGCAUAAAGAUUCGUAUGGUGCACCGCUUUGUCCUUGCAGGUGAUCUUUGGAUUUUUUUUGAAGAUUGAAGAUGAAGUUCCUUGACUUAGCAAUCUUAGGAAUUGUUUUGGUUUAUGUGUAUUUUUGGAUGAUAUGUGAAAUAAUGUAUGUUUUAUAAAUUUAAUGAAAUAUAAUUUCUUAUUUAUAGAUCAAAUUGUCAUGUAUAAAUGAUAAAUGCCAAUUAUGAUUGGUUAUUUUGUCUUUAAGCAUGUAACUAAUUGGUAAAUAAAUACGUAAUUUCUCUAA